RNAcentral lists this long non-coding RNA (6729 nucleotides) under Marmota monax (woodchuck). Lineage: Eukaryota; Metazoa; Chordata; Mammalia; Rodentia; Sciuridae. The record is from RNAcentral.
CCCCAGUGGUCCAUAUAAGAACUUUGUUAUCUUGCAGGAGGGUCUUUAUGAAGAGGCCAUCGGUGAAGCAACAUAAGGAAAAGAGCCCCUGAGGUGACAGAAAGAGAAGAGAACCAGACCAUCUCAAUGUCCUAGUCAAAUCUAGCACCUUGGGGACCUCUCAAAUGGAUGAAUUCACAUGAAUGAUCAUUGGUAAAUCAGCAGAGGAAUUACCCAGCUAAGCCCCAACCAAAUGAUAGCUGUAAGCAAAUGAUGUGGUCAUUGUGUUAAGUCACUAAGUACUGGAGGUAGUUUGUAAUACAGCAAAAGAUAACUGUUGGUAUGAUAAUUGACAAGUCAAGGAUGUCUCUUUCUUCUCUGGCAUAUUGUGGUGUUAAGUGGAGAAGAAGGCUUGAGACCACAGCAAAAUUGGGUCAUAUCCUCACUUUGUCAAUUUUUAUCUCUAUGGUGUUAUUUGCUAUUUCUGAGUUUCAGUCUUUUUAGUUUUAAAAUGAGACAAAUAUUUCUCCUCUCUCAAUAUAGUUAAGACAUUAUGUGCGUGAAAGUUUAGGGCUAUAUGAAGUACACACCAAACAGUAGUUCUACUUCAUAUCCUCCCUAUAGUUCCUUUUAUCUUGAGGGGACAUAUAGUUAUCUAAAGCCUUUUAUUUCCUAAAACUAGUCCUGUGACCUGCUAAAGGCAAUUUUGUCACAGGUCAAUGGACUUUGUGCAUGAGUAUAUUUGAUCAACAAUCACUGUGUCUAUAUGAAGAAGAGAUAAAUUAUCAAACCACAAGUAACAGAUUUUUUUUAACAACAAUGGCAGAUUUUAGGGGUCAUUACUGGAGUCCAUGCACAUUUGUUUCUUUGUCCCAGACUAUCUGGCCGUGCCCCUCUGGAACACCACUCUUGCAUGUUACAAUAACUUGGGUUCCCAAGGAAUGUUGAAGUUACAUUCAUCUUAUUUUAUUUCAGAAGGCACAUACUAUAUUUCAGUUAGAUUUUCACAAAAAAAAGCAUUCUUUCUCAAUUGUUUGUGAAAUUCAUUCAUUUAGGUAAAAACUAAACAUUUCAAGGCAACACUAGAUGAAAUUUGGCACUCAUUGAGCCUCUGCCUUAGUACCAGAAGGUGAUUUAGGAUUUUGGAAAGGAAGUCUUAUAUUGUUUGUGUAAUUUAUGUUAAAAUUUUGCAAACAUCCAGUUUCCCAGCUCCCUGAGAUAAAACAAAGUGUGCACACGCAUACAUACACAUACACCAAAGGAUUAAGGGGAAAAGAAAUAACCUGCCUGGGCCUCAAUUUCCAAAUUGGGAAAAGAGAAAGUCAGGCUAGCUUUCUCAGACUGGAAGGUUUUCCAAGACUACUUCUAGUUCUGAGUGUAGUGGAAGUCUCACCUCCUUGUGCCUGCACUAGCCCUUCAUAGAGAAUAAGAUUAGAAACACAGGUUGCUCCCCAGCAAAACUUUAAUUGCAAAGCUUUAAUUACAAAAAGAAUCAAAAUACACACUUAGGUUAUGUUUUUUUAAAUUGUAUUUUUAAUUGUGUUUUGUCUCCAUUUUCUUUUAAAAGAGAAACGAAAACUUCAAUUUGCCAAAUUGCUGUACAUGUUUCCUUGCUGGGUAGUUGCCCUAGCAAGUUAACCUAAAAUGAUUUUCUAAAAUGUAUUUUUAAUGAGAAAAUUUGAUCCCUGAAAUUUGUCUUAAACAUUUUUUUUUUCUUCAAACCUCUUAUAGGACUCUGGAGUUUCCACACCUUAGUGCCAAGAGCAUAGCAAAGGAAUCCAGCUCAGUUUAGUAAUUACUUGUGUUACUCUAGCUCAAAGUUGUUUUGCUCUUAAUGGCUUAGGAGAGCCAUUUGAAUACUUUAAUUCUUGUAAUAAAAGUUCUAAUGGGGAAAGUAGGUGAAUGCCCAUGUAAUGUUUAGCCUAUUAAAACAGUGAUAUUCAAAGCUUUUGCAGACAAAAUUCUUACCAGGGACUAUGAAUAAGGACAGGUCAAUUGUAAGGAAAGCAAGAAAAAAAUAAGAAAGUCAAAGUCAAUUGGGAGAGUCUUUUCCUUCUUCAAAAUAGGGCCCACAAUAUAGGGGAAUUUAUUUUUUCUCCCUUCUUAUUGGAAGAGGGGAGAUUCUCCCCAGUAAUCUGCUGAUUUCAUCCCGAGCAUAUUAGUUAGGCUUCCCCAGAGAAACAGAACCAAUAGGACACACACACACGCACACACACACACACACACACACACACAUUAUAUAUGAAGAGAUUCAUUAAGAAUUGGCUCACCCAAUUAUGGAGAUAUGGAAGUCCAGUGGACUGCAACCUGGAGACCCAGAAAGCUGGUGGUGUCAUUCAAUCCAAGUCCAAAGGCCUGAGAAAAAGGGAAGCCACUGGUGUAAGUCUCAGUCUGAUGGCAGACUCAGACUGCUCAUGCAGGCAGGUAGAAAAAAGGGACAAAGUCUCCCUUCCUUAUUUUCUUGUUCUAGUCAGCCCAUCAGUAUUGGGAAAGGCCAUCUGCUUUCCUGAGCCAAAUAAUUCAAAUGCUUACCUCAUUUAGAAACACAUGCACACACACACAACUAGAAGUAAUGUUUGAAAAAUAUCUGGAUGCUCCAUGGUCCUGUCAAGUUUACACAUAAAAUUAACCCACAUACCAAGGCUUCUCAGAGCAUGUUUGUUUAACUAUAGUUUCUCAAACUAUCUGUGGUGAACAAAAGUUGCCUCCUCCCCAACCACUGGGUACUGACGCUUGUGUGAAAUACAACCAAAAUGAACCACAAAUGUGGUACAUCCACACAAUGAAAUAUUAUUUAAACAUAAGAACAUAUGAAGUAUUGAUAGAUGCUACAACAUAGGUGAACCUACGAAGUAAAAGAAGCCAGACACAAAGGGCAUAUACUGUAUGAUUCCAUGUAUGUGAAAUGUCUGGAGUGAAUGCCCAUGUAAUGUUUAGCCUAUUAAAAUAUUCGGGCUGGGGAUGUGGCUCAAGUGGUAGCGCGCUUGCCUGGCAUGCACGGGGCGCUGGAUUCGAUCCUCAGCACCACAUAAAAAUAAAAAAAUAAAGAUGUUGUGUCCACCGAAAACUAAAAAAUAAAUAUUAAAAAAAAUUUCUCUCUCCCCCUCUCUCUUUAAAAAAAAACAGUGAUAUUCAAAGCAAGAAUAUGUAGAGCAAGAAAGUUGAUAAGGGCUGGGGGUUAGAGUGCAAAUACUGAAGAGUGAAAAUUAAGUAGAGUCAGUUGUAUUCUGACUCUAGUAUUGCAGUAUGUAUAUACAUGGCUGUAUAACCAAUGUGAUCCUGCAAUCUGUACACGUGGAAAAAUGAGAAUUCAUACCCUAUUUGAAUCAAAUGUAUGAUAUGUCAAUAUCAUUGUAUUGUCUUGAACAACUAAUAGAAAAAAGAAAAUUAAGUAGAAGUGAUGAAAUGUUUUAAAAUUGACUGUGGCUGUGGAUAAACGUUAUUAAAUUAUAUAAUUUUAAUGUGUAAAUUGUAUGGUUAUUAUUUAAUACUAAGAAGAAAUGAGCUAUUAAACCAUGAAAAAAUAUGUAGGAAACUUAAUGAUCAUUACCAAGUGAAAUAUUGCAAUCUGAAAAGGCUAUAGAACACAAAAUUCCAACUAUGUGACAUUCUAGAAAAGGCAAAACUGUGGAGACAGUAAAAACAUCAGUGGCUUUCAGGACUAGUGGGAAGGGAGAGAGGGAUGAAUAGGUGGAGCACAGAAUUUUUAGGGCAGUUAAACCAUAUUUUAUGAAAACAGAGUAUUAGAUACAUAUCAUUACACAUUUGUCAAAACCUAUAGGUUUUACAACAUAAAAAUUGAAGCUUAAUGUAAACUAUGGCUUGAAGUGAUAAUAAUGUGUCAGUGUAGGUGCAUCAAUUUGCAACAAAUGUACACUCUAAUUUGGGAUGCUGAUAGUAGGGGAGGCUGUGACUGCAUGGGAAUAGGGGGCUAUGAGAAUCAUCUAUACUUUCCACUUAAUUUUUCUAGGAAUCUAAAACUGCUCUAAAAAUAGAAUCUAUUAAAAAAAGAAGAAAACAAGCAUGGUGGCACAUUCUUGUAAUUCUGACUAUUCAAGAGGCUGAAGCAGGAGGAUCACAAGUUCAUGGACAACUUACUGAGAUCCUGUCUCAAAGAGAACUUUCUUAGCACAUUCGAGGCCGUGGAUUCAAUCUCAAGUAUAGAAGAAAGAGGAGGAGGAGGAGGAAGAAGAAGACAAGGAGGAGGGAGGAAGCAUGACUAUCUCAUAAGGCCCAACUUGAGGGAGUAUUCCCUGAUUCCCUGACCCAUCUCUCCCCACUUAAUCCUGGCAGAAAAACUACUUGUUCAUUUAUAUAAGUUCCCACUGUGUAUUAUUCCUACUUCUUUUAUAGUUUGCAUCACAUUGUUUUAUAGUUGUUUUGGGAUCUCACUUCUUGAACUAAAAUCUACUUGAGGGCAGAGGCAAUGUCAUAUUUUUUUUGACAUUUAUACAGUACUGGAAGCAUCACAUAGUAGAGAUAGAUGUAUAUUGUGUGAAUGUAUGAAGAACCUCCUAUAAUGAAUCUUUUUUCAAUGCAGUUUUAAAAUAAACUGCAACGAAUGAUUCUCUUUAGGCUUUGGGGUAUCCUGAAAACAGGCGCCUUUAAGAGGUUUCUCCCAGGGACAGUGGUCAGGACGACAAUGAGAGAGUAUUGAGGAAAGUUCCUAGGAAAUUGAGAAUAUACAAAAGUCCUAAACUAAGAACUUAUCCAUACUAAGAAUCCUCACAUAGUAGCAUAUUACUCUAGUAGAGCUUUGGGCAAAUACUCCUCCUUGGAGACAAUAUAAGCAAUUGAGAAAUUUGGGAUAAGACUUCUGUAUCUUUGUACCUUUCUGUAUCUUAUGUACCUUUGUAGGUAAAUGGGGAGAUGUUAGGGGACAACAAAGGGAUGACUUCAUUGUAGGGGAAGCUAUCUCAGCCACCACCCAAUGUCUCCCUGAAGUGCUCUUGUGGGAGCAUAUAGAAGUCUUACAGUUUAGAUAAAUGUAAAUGAGUGAAUGUUUUUCCUGAGAAUAUAUCCCCAGGAGGGAUGAAACUUUACUGUUAUUCAUUUUUAGCUCAGUGGGGAUCAUGGUAUGUAGUUAAUAUUUCUUAAAAACAGACUUUACAUAAAGAAAAAUGAAAUUAUGUAAUUUUCAGGAAAAUGGAUGGAACCAGAGACUAUUAUGUUAAGUGAAAUAAGCCAAACUCAGAAUGUCAGGGUUCAUAUGUUCUCUCUUAGAUGCAGAAGUUAGAGAGGAAAAAGGAAAAGAAAGAUGGGGGUUGACAUCAUAAAAAGCAAAGGGAGAUCAGUAGAGGAAAGGGACCAAAGAAUGGGAGGUGGGGAGGAAGGGAGAAAGUGUUGGGGAGUGAUAUUGGCCAAAUUCUAUUGUUACAUUGUGUGUAUGUAUGAAUAUGUAACAACAAAUCCCAUCAUUAUGUACAACUAUAAUGUACCAAUAAAUACAUGGAUUUUUAUAUAAUUUAAUAUGAUUUAAUAAAAAAACCCUAGACUUUAAGAAGACAAUUGAGAAAAAAACACUAGAGACACUGCUAAGAUCAGAAAGGAAGUUACCUGAGAGGUGACAGGGCACCCAAAAUAGCUUUCUUAACUUCCCAAAUUUUCCAGCAUUUAAUGGACAGAUGCACAUUUUUAGCCACACAACUUCUUUAAUUUUGGGACUAGGGCCUAUGUCUUGUUCUAAGAAAUCACUUAUUAAUAUUGUUUUAAAUAGAAGCAUUGAGACUGUAGGGGAUUUAUUAGUCAGGGCUCUGCUCCUCCUUUGCUGUGUAAUCUAUAGAAGUCACCACUCUCAGUGUCUUACCCUCUUUGAUCUUGGUUUUAUUCACUGAGAAAAUGGGCUUACCAAUACCUGUGCUACUCACCUUGCAGAGUAGUUGUGAAAAAUCCAUUGAGAUUGCUGGAAGUAAAGGUUAUGUGAAUUGGACAAACAAAUGAUUAUGUACAGUUGAUGUUAGUAUAGGAAGGGUAAGUGUUAAGAAGCUCCAUCACUUAAUAUCAAUGGAGUUUAUUGGUGGCACCAAACAAUUGAUGCAUUUAGUCUCUGACUCUUUUAAGUUGUGAAGGACCUUCUAUCAUAUUCUGGAAAGAAUCUUAUUAGCAUUUGGGAAAAGCAUUAUUAUAAAAACUUCUUGCAGGUUUUAACUCUAGGCACAUAUGUGUAUUUAAGAAUAUCUAGUCAUACUGGCCAUAGGAUUCAAGAUGGCAGAUUAGAGGAAGCCUGCAUUUUCAGUUGCUUUAUGACUCAGGAUUUAAGCAGCAGCAGAACUGCUUCUCAGUGAGCUCGGUAAAAGACAGAAUUCACUGGAGUUCAAGAUGAGACAGUCAGAAUCUCUUAGAGUCUCAGAAAUUUGGGUGCAUUGAAUUAAGAACAAGAAAGAGGACCUUGGUGUUAGCAUUAGGGGUGCUAGUUCACAGAAACAGAGAAAGAAACACAAUGAACAAAUUUUGCCUAAAAAACGUGCAGAUCAGGGGCUGGGAAUGUGGCUCAAGCAGUAGCGAGCUCGCCUGGCAUGUGUGCGGCACUGGGUUUGAUCCUCAGCACCACAUAAAAAUAAAAUAAAGAUAUUGUGUCCACUGACAACUCUCUCUCUCUCUCUCUCUCUCUCUCUCUCUCUCUCUCUCUUAAAAAAAAAAAAACAACAGCAACAACAACAACAACAAAAAAGUGCGGAUCAGGAAAGCUGUCUGAAUUUAGCAGAUCCCAAGGCUGCAGAGUGAAGCCGUGUUUGAAAAGCGCUCUGUGUU